RNAcentral lists this unclassified non-coding RNA (282 nucleotides) under Hevea brasiliensis (rubber tree). The record is from RNAcentral. Lineage: Eukaryota; Viridiplantae; Streptophyta; Magnoliopsida; Malpighiales; Euphorbiaceae.
UAAGAGAAUGAAAGUGGGUAAAGUGAUGCAGGCCUUGGUUGAAUGUUGUAAAGGAGAGCACCACUCAUUCAGCCAUGGAAGAUGGACCGUCCUUCACCCAAGCACAAACACUCCAGCACAUACACAAACAACUCAACUUCUAACAAGAUAGAUAGCACUUUAGAACAAAGGGGACUUUCAUUAACUUUGAAAAACAGAAAAUACAAGAUGUCAAUGGCACUUGAAACACAAUAGCAACCUGUGCUAGAGUUUCUCAAGUAUAAGCCUAAGAUAUUACAAGUG